Molecule: ribosomal RNA, 414 nt
Filed under: uncultured microorganism
Description: bacterial SSU rRNA
Rfam family: Archaeal small subunit ribosomal RNA
Source: RNAcentral
CAGCAGCCGCGGUAAUACCGGCGGCCCGAGUGGCGGCCACUAUUAUUGGGCCUAAAGCGUCCGUAGCCGGGCUGGUAAGUCCUCCGGGAAAUCUGGUCGCUUAACGAUCAGACUUCCGGAGGAUACUGCUGGCCUAGGGACCGGGAGAGGCCGAGGGUAUUCCCGGAGUAGGGGUGAAAUCCUAUAAUCCCGGGAGGACCACCUGUGGCGAAGGCGCUCGGCUGGAACGCGUCCGACGGUGAGGGACGAAGGCCAGGGGAGCAAACCGGAUUAGAUACCCGGGUAGUCCUGGCUGUAAACGAUGCGGACUUUGUGUCGGACAAGCUAUGAGCUUGUCCGGUGCCGGAGGGAAACCGUUAAGUCCGCCGCCUGGGGAGUACGGCCGCAAGGCUGAAACUUAAAGGAAUUGGCGGG